GGAUAAUCGGGAGAAAUUCCGUCUAAUACGGCAUAAUGCAUCGACGGGACAUCCUGUUGGUGCCAAAGGUUGAUUCCGGUGGCGGAUGGGCAUGCGUCGCAUUAGUUAGUUGGCGGUGUAACGGACCACCAAGACGACGAUGCGUAGGGGUUCUGAGAGGAAGGUCCCCCACACUGGUACUGAGACACGGACCAGACUCCUACGGGAGGCAGCAGUGAGGAAUAUUGGUCAAUGGGCGGGAGCCUGAACCAGCCAAGUCGCGUGAGGGAUGACGGCCCUAUGGGUUGUAAACCUCUUUUGCCGGGGAGCAAAGUGCCGCACGUGUGCGGUUUGGAGAGUACCCGGAGAAAAAGCAUCGGCUAACUCCGUGCCAGCAGCCGCGGUAAUACGGAGGAUGCGAGCGUUAUCCGGAUUUAUUGGGUUUAAAGGGUGCGUAGGCGGACGCUUAAGUCAGCGGUAAAAUUGCGGGGCUCAACCUCGUCGAGCCGUUGAAACUGGGUGCCUUGAGUGGGCGAGAAGUACGCGGAAUGCGUGGUGUAGCGGUGAAAUGCAUAGAUAUCACGCAGAACUCCGAUUGCGAAGGCAGCGUACCGGCGCCCAACUGACGCUGAAGCACGAAGGCGUGGGUAUCGAACAGGAUUAGAUACCCUGGUAGUCCACGCAGUAAACGAUGAAUGAUAGUUGUCCGGGGCGAUUGAGUUCUGGGU
RNAcentral lists this ribosomal RNA (707 nucleotides) under uncultured bacterium. RNAcentral describes it as "bacterial SSU rRNA". It matches the Rfam family "Bacterial small subunit ribosomal RNA", at positions 141 to 844 of the family's 1533-position model. The record is from RNAcentral.